UGAGGAAUAUUGCGCAAUGGACGAAAGUCUGACGCAGCCAUGCCGCGUGCAGGAUGACGGCCCUAUGGGUUGUAAACUGCUUUUGUAUAGGAAGAAACUCGAAUACGUGUAUUUGAUUGACGGUACUAUAUGAAUAAGCAUCGGCUAACUCCGUGCCAGCAGCCGCGGUAAUACGGAGGAUGCAAGCGUUAUCCGGAUUUAUUGGGUUUAAAGGGUGCGUAGGCGGAAUAUUAAGUCAGUGGUGAAAUCCUGCAGCUUAACUGUAGCACUGCCAUUGAUACUGAGAUUCUUGAGUACGGUUGAGGUAGGCGGAAUGUGUAAUGUAGCGGUGAAAUGCUUAGAUAUGACACAGAACACCGAUCGCGAAGGCAGCUCGCUAAGCUAUAACUGACGCUCAUGCACGAAAGCGUGGGGAUCAAACAG
Molecule: ribosomal RNA, 423 nt
Filed under: uncultured bacterium
Lineage: Bacteria
Description: bacterial SSU rRNA
Rfam family: Bacterial small subunit ribosomal RNA
Source: RNAcentral